UUGCUUCUGGAGCACACAUACUGAAACAGGAAUAAUACAGAGAAAAUUAGCAUGGCCCCUGUGCAAGUAUGACACACAGGUUUAUGAGCAUUUCAUAUUUUUU
Molecule: small nuclear RNA, 103 nt
Filed under: Canis lupus familiaris (dog)
Lineage: Eukaryota; Metazoa; Chordata; Mammalia; Carnivora; Canidae
Source: RNAcentral